UUUUUUUUUUUUUUUUUUUUUUUUUUUCUCCUCA
This 34-nucleotide non-coding RNA is filed under the name Prorocentrum micans. The record is from RNAcentral. Lineage: Eukaryota; Dinophyceae; Prorocentrales; Prorocentraceae.